CUUUACUGACGCUAAAGCUCGAAGGUGCGGGUAUCGAACAGGAUUAGACACCCUGGUAGUCCGCACGGUAAACGAUGGAUGCCCGCUGUUUGCGAUAUAGUGUGAGCGGCCAAGAGAAAUCGUUAAGCAUCCCACCUGGGGAGUACGCCGGCAACGGUGAAACUCAAAGGAAUUGACGGGGGCCCGCACAAGCGGAGGAACAUGUGGUUUAAUUCGAUGAUACGCGAGGAACCUUACCCGGGCUUGAACUGCAGGCGAACGAUACAGAGAUGUUGAGGCCCUUCGGGGCGCCUGUGGAGGUGCUGCAUGGUUGUCGUCAGCUCGUGCCGUGAGGUGUCGGCUUAAGUGCCAUAACGAGCGCAACCCUUUUCAUUAGUUGCCAUCAGGUAAUGCUGGGCACUCUGGUGAUACUGCCACCGUAAGGUGUGAGGAAGGUGGGGAUGACGUCAAAUCAGCACGGCCUGAACGGCGGGGGCUACACACGUGUUACAAUGGGAGGUACAGAGAGUGGGUGCAUGGCAAUAUGCAUCAAAUCCUUAAAGCCUUCCUCAGUUCGGAUUGGGGUCUGCAACCCGACCCCAUGAAGCUGAUUCGCUAGUAA
Molecule: ribosomal RNA, 601 nt
Filed under: uncultured bacterium
Lineage: Bacteria
Description: bacterial SSU rRNA
Rfam family: Bacterial small subunit ribosomal RNA
Source: RNAcentral